AAAUGCGAUAAGUAAUGUGCAUUGCAGAAUUCAGUGAAUCAUCGAAUCUUUGAACGCACCUUGCGCUCCUUGGUAUUCCUUGGAGCAUGCCUGUUUGAGUAUCAUGAAAUCUUCAAAGUAAAUCUUUUGUUAACUCAAUUGGUUUCUACUUUGGUAUUGGAGGUCUUUGCAGCUUCACACCCGCUCCUCUUUGUUCAUUAGCUGGAUCUCAGUGUUAUGCUUGGUUCCACUCGGCGUGAUAAGUUAUCUAUCGCUGAGGACACUGUAAAAGGUGGCCAAGGUAAAUGCAGAUGAACCGCUUCUAAUAGUCCAUUGACUUGGACAAUACUUUUAUGAUCUGAUCUCAAAUCAGGUAGGACUACCCGCUGAACUUAAGC
This 377-nucleotide unclassified non-coding RNA is filed under the name plant metagenome. Its description in RNAcentral is "partial contains 5.8S ribosomal RNA, internal transcribed spacer 2, and large subunit ribosomal RNA". The stretch from base 1 to 104 matches the Rfam family "5.8S ribosomal RNA", at positions 51 to 154 of the family's 154-position model. The record is from RNAcentral.